UCCAAGUUCAGCUUAUCAGGUAAACAUUCCAAACUCCACUUCUAUGGUUAGGUAAAUUGCUCAGCUAUUAGUAUUAUUCAAUACAGACACCAAAACAUAUUACACAGUUUAGAUGGACGGAUAGAAAGCGUGAACAUCAAAAGCCAUCGUGUGUGUUACCCAGUUUCCAUUCUGCAUCUAACAAUAGGAACCAAGCAUCCAACAUCAUGACUUUAUUAUUAUAUAGUCCAGACAAUGAAUGCUCAAAAGAGGGUAUAGAGAGAAAAGUUUGGAAGACUAUAUUUGACCCCGCAAUUUUGUUUUGGGUAUUAAGG
Molecule: long non-coding RNA, 314 nt
Organism: Nilaparvata lugens (brown planthopper)
Lineage: Eukaryota; Metazoa; Arthropoda; Insecta; Hemiptera; Delphacidae
Exons: 2
Source: RefSeq, a predicted model, not a curated record